Non-coding RNA from Drosophila melanogaster (fruit fly), 348 nucleotides. NCBI's taxonomy places the organism in Eukaryota, Metazoa, Arthropoda, Insecta, Diptera, Drosophilidae. The record is from Ensembl.
UAGUGGGAUUGUGUUAUUAAUUUUGGUCACUGAUACUAGAUCUUUUUAACGAAAGUGUAUAUUUUGGGUGAAGCAUUAGAAAUGAUAAAAUCUAACAAAAGAAAAUAGACCAAGAAGUGACGAACACCUGCCCCAACCGAAAGCCAAAUAAAUGUGCCAUUGGCAAUUUUCCACCAACUUUGUGAUGAGAAUUGAUUAAGUUAUCACUGCAUAUGAUCAACACUAUUGAAACAAUGUAAUUUGUUAACUUCUUAAACCUUACAGCUAUUAAGCAUAGAGUGUUGCUUUUUAUACCCGUUCAUUGUAGACUAAAAGGGUAUACUACAUUCGUUGAACAGAAUUUACAGC